GAUGAACGCUGGCGGCGUGCCUAAUACAUGCAAGUCGAACGGAGAUAUUGUAGCAAUACGGUAUCUUAGUGGCGAACGGGUGAGUAACGCGUUGGUGACCUGCCCCGAAGAGGGGGAUAACAGUUCGAAAGGAUUGCUAAUACCCCAUACGGUUACGAGGAUUAGAAGCUUGUAACCAAAGGCGAAAGUCGCUUCGGGAGGGGCCUGCGUCCCAUCAGCUAGUUGGUAAGGUAACGGCUUACCAAGGCGACGACGGGUAGGGGACCUGAGAGGGUGGCCCCCCACAAUGGAACUGAAACACGGUCCAUACACCUACGGGUGGCAGCAGUAGGGAAUAUUAGUUAAUGUGCGAAAGCGCGAACUAGCAACGCCGCGUGUGCGAUGAAGGCCUUCGGGUCGU
Molecule: ribosomal RNA, 400 nt
Filed under: uncultured bacterium
Lineage: Bacteria
Description: bacterial SSU rRNA
Rfam family: Bacterial small subunit ribosomal RNA
Source: RNAcentral